This 253-nucleotide ribosomal RNA is filed under the name uncultured bacterium. Its description in RNAcentral is "partial 16S ribosomal RNA". It matches the Rfam family "Bacterial small subunit ribosomal RNA", at positions 524 to 776 of the family's 1533-position model. The record is from RNAcentral.
UACGUAGGGUGCAAGCGUUGUCCGGAAUUAUUGGGCGUAAAGCGCACGUAGGCGGCUUUCUAAGUCAGGGGUGAAAUCCUGGAGCUCAACUCCAGAACUGCCUUUGAUACUGGAGAGCUUGAGUCCGGAAGAGGUGAGUGGAACUCCGAGUGUAGAGGUGAAAUUCGUAGAUAUUCGGAAGAACACCAGUGGCGAAGGCGGCUCACUGGUCCGGUACUGACGCUGAGGUGCGAAAGCGUGGGGAGCAAACAGG